RNAcentral lists this ribosomal RNA (1125 nucleotides) under Triticum aestivum (bread wheat). RNAcentral's name for it is "partial small subunit ribosomal RNA". The record is from RNAcentral. Lineage: Eukaryota; Viridiplantae; Streptophyta; Magnoliopsida; Poales; Poaceae.
AUGGGUGGUGAGGCCGCUUCAGCUCCGGCUGCGACAUGUGACGUUGAGAUGGGGCCUGACGCGCAGGCUGCGGGCCACCUUUUGGCGCCAGUGGGACAGCUGACCGUCCCGUCUGCACGCAGCUACUGGCGACCCGUGGCCCGGGCACAACUUUCCUCUUCGGAUUCUUGCUCGCCGGGGCUUUUGGUGGACGGGAGACAAGCCGAGGUCAGCGCCUCGGGCGACACUUCGCCCGUUUCGGUAUCCCUUCCUUGGUGGAGACAGGAUGUUUGCAGCAAUGAUGGUCUGAUUGUGGAAAGUGACCAUCGGGUUAUGAGCUCGAGGCCCGUGCACCCCAUGGGACCGUGCUUGUCGGGUGCGACACGUCUGCGGUGGUCGCCGGUAGUGGCGGACCCCAGCUACAGAGCCGCGCUGCCGGUCUCGCUUCUCAUUGGUGGACGCCUGUCACCGCCAUGCAUUGGUGCUCUGCGGCCCAGCCAUGCACGUUGCACGUCUAUUUCUGGGACGUUCAGGGACCGCAUUCGAGGCUUACAUGAAUCUGGCUCGCUAGACCUGCCGGUGGUGGAUCAGGCCGCUCCGGCAGCCUACUUCGAGGUGCCCCUGUCACCCAUGGAUGCGUCCCCGGUGGCUGGUGCAUCAGUCACGCCUGCGGUACCGGUCUCGCAUUGCUCGCUAGGGGAGCAUGCCUCGCCCUGUACACCGGUUGUGCCUGGCUCGCCUUGCACGCCGCGGCUGCCCCAUGCCGAUCCGGUGACGGGCAACGUGGCUUUGCACUCUGUGCUGAACCAGAUCAGGGCUCACAUCGCCAACCCGGUGCUCCCCCUUCCUUCGGUGCAGCGUUCACGGAGAGCAAAACUUGUGGUGCCUGAAGAUCAGUUGCGACAUAGUGCACGCAUAGCAUUCAACUCGCGUGGGAAGCCUGCCUCCUACAUCAAACGCGCUCAAAGCGUUCUUGUGUCCAAGUUGGGGUUUUGUGGGAUCGAGGACGAGCCUGAUGUGGACUGCCUUGCGCGUUAUGCGGAGAUGUUCAAGGAGCCGCUACCUGCUUCAGCCAUUGACGCGCUCAUUAAACUGUUUUCUUUGGAACAGUAUCAGACUGCGGGAGCGCCGACCCCGGUGUGCUAG